Pelobates cultripes (western spadefoot toad) is the source of this 279-nucleotide non-coding RNA. NCBI's taxonomy places the organism in Eukaryota, Metazoa, Chordata, Amphibia, Anura, Pelobatidae. The record is from the annotation of a GenBank genome assembly.
UAUAUAUGUUAUAAGAAAGCCUGAAUGGAGUAUGUGUCUCAAGCAAUACCAGAGUCUCUCUAUACUUAUACUAGCCAAUAAUCUAAAUGGGCUGCCACUAUAGGUGCUUCCUCCAUAACGACAGAGGGAAACACCGUCACGUGAGCACAUGUAGUUCAUAUGAAAGCAUUAAAAUUCACCAUGCAUAAACAUGAUGUUCUUCUAUAAUGCGCAUUUAAUUGGACCAUCGCCUAGAGAGCAACGCCUGCCGAAUGGCAUCAUGGGAAGCAGCACCAAGGG